ACGGGUGCGUAACGCGUGGGAAUCUGCCCCUUGGUUCGGAAUAACAGUUAGAAAUGACUGCUAAUACCGGAUGAUGACUUCGGUCCAGAGAUUUAUCGCCGAGGGAUGAGCCCGCGUAGGAUUAGGUAGUUGGUGGGGUAAAGGCCUACCAAGCCGACGAUCCUUAGCUGGUCUGAGAGGAUGAUCAGCCACACUGGGACUGAGACACGGCCCAGACUCCUACGGGAGGCAGCAGUGGGGAAUAUUGGACAAUGGGCGCAAGCCUGAUCCAGCAAUGCCGCGUGAGUGAUGAAGGCCCUCGGGUCGUAAAGCUCUUUUACCCGGGAUGAUAAUGACAGUACCGGGAGAAUAAGCCCCGGCUAACUCCGUGCCAGCAGCCGCGGUAAUACGGAGGGGGCUAGCGUUGUUCGGAAUUACUGGGCGUAAAGCGCACGUAGGCGGCUACUCAAGUCAGAGGUGAAAGCCCGGGGCUCAACCCCGGAACUGCCUUUGAAACUAGGUGGCUAGAAUCUUGGAGAGGUCAGUGGAAUUCCGAGUGUAGAGGUGAAAUUCGUAGA
This 557-nucleotide ribosomal RNA is filed under the name uncultured bacterium. RNAcentral describes it as "bacterial SSU rRNA". It matches the Rfam family "Bacterial small subunit ribosomal RNA", at positions 102 to 694 of the family's 1533-position model. The record is from RNAcentral.